RNAcentral lists this ribosomal RNA (498 nucleotides) under uncultured Pseudomonadota bacterium. RNAcentral's name for it is "bacterial SSU rRNA". It matches the Rfam family "Bacterial small subunit ribosomal RNA", at positions 406 to 896 of the family's 1533-position model. The record is from RNAcentral. Lineage: Bacteria; Pseudomonadati; Pseudomonadota.
UGAAGAAGGCCUGCGGGUUGUAAAGCCCUUUCGGUGGGGAAGAAAAGCGCUGACCAAAUACGUCGGCGUCUUGACGUAACCCACAAAAGAAGCACCGGCUAACUCUGUGCCAGCAGCCGCGGUAAUACAGAGGGUGCGAGCGUUAAUCGGAAUUACUGGGCGUAAAGCGCGCGUAGGCGGCUUUGCAAGUCGGGUGUGAAAUCCCCGGGCUCAACCUGGGAACUGCAUUCGAGACUGCAUUGCUCGAGUAUGGGAGAGGGAGGCGGAAUUUCCGGUGUAGCGGUGAAAUGCGUAGAUAUCGGAAGGAACAUCAGUGGCGAAAGCGGCCUCCUGGACCAAUACUGACGCUCAUGUGCGAAAGCGUGGGGAGCAAACAGGAUUAGAUACCCUGGUAGUCCACGCCAUAAACGAUGAGAACUGGAUGUCGGGAGGGUUAGCCUCUCGGUGUCGUAGCUAACGCGUUAAGUUCUCCGCCUGGGGAGUACGGCCGCAAGGUUG